RNAcentral lists this ribosomal RNA (163 nucleotides) under uncultured bacterium. RNAcentral describes it as "partial 16S rRNA". It matches the Rfam family "Bacterial small subunit ribosomal RNA", at positions 355 to 511 of the family's 1533-position model. The record is from RNAcentral.
UAGGGAAUCUUCCACAAUGGGCGAAAGCCUGAUGGAGCAACGCCGCGUGUGUGAUGAAGGGUUUCGGCUCGUAAAACACUGUUGUAAGAGAAGAAUGACAUUGAGAGUAACUGUUCAAUGUGUGACGGUAUCUUCCAGAAAGGAACGGCUAAAUACGUGCCAC